GGGUCCAUAGCUCAGUGGUAGAGUAUUUGACUGCAGAUCAAGAGGUUAUUGGUCAAACUUUAUUGGGCCCU
Molecule: transfer RNA, 71 nt
Filed under: Ipomoea nil (Japanese morning glory)
Lineage: Eukaryota; Viridiplantae; Streptophyta; Magnoliopsida; Solanales; Convolvulaceae
Rfam family: tRNA
About the family: Transfer RNA (tRNA) molecules are approximately 80 nucleotides in length.
Source: Rfam by way of RNAcentral